This 248-nucleotide ribosomal RNA is filed under the name uncultured bacterium. RNAcentral's name for it is "partial 16S ribosomal RNA". It matches the Rfam family "Bacterial small subunit ribosomal RNA", at positions 15 to 252 of the family's 1533-position model. The record is from RNAcentral.
GAUCAUGGCUCAGGAUGAACGCUAGCUACAGGCUUAACACAUGCAAGUCGAGGGGCAGCAUGGACCCAGCUUUGCUGGGUUUGAUGGCGACCGGCGCACGGGUGAGUAACGCGUAUCCAACCUGCCCUUUACUCCGGGAUAGUCUCCUGAAAGGGAGUUUAAUACCGGAUGUGUUUGUCUUUCCGCAUGGGAGCGACAAAUAAAGAUUAAUUGGUAAAGGAUGGUGGAUGCCGUCCCAUUAGCUUUGG